UACGGAGGGUGCAAGCGUUAUCCGGAUUUAUUGGGUUUAAAGGGUGCGUAGGCGGACUUAUAAGUCAGUGGUGAAAUCUCGUUGCUUAACAACGAACGUGCCAUUGAUACUGUAGGUCUUGAGUACAGAUGCCGUUGGCGGAAUGUGUCAUGUAGCGGUGAAAUGCAUAGAUAUGACACAGAACACCGAUUGCGAAGGCAGCUGACGAAACUGUAACUGACGCUGAGGCACGAAAGCGUGGGGAUCAAACAGG
This 253-nucleotide ribosomal RNA is filed under the name uncultured bacterium. RNAcentral describes it as "partial 16S ribosomal RNA". It matches the Rfam family "Bacterial small subunit ribosomal RNA", at positions 524 to 776 of the family's 1533-position model. The record is from RNAcentral.